Molecule: ribosomal RNA, 506 nt
Filed under: uncultured bacterium
Lineage: Bacteria
Description: partial 16S ribosomal RNA
Source: RNAcentral
GGAGUUAGCCGGUGCUUCUUCUGUGAGUGAUGUCCUUCCUGCCGGCUAUUAACCCGCAGGCCUUCUUCCUCACUGAAAGUGCUUUACAACCCGAAGGCCUUCUUCACACACGCGGCAUGGCUGGAUCAGGGUUGCCCCCAUUGUCCAAUAUUCCCCACUGCUGCCUCCCGUAGGAGUCUGGGCCGUGUCUCAGUCCCAGUGUGGCUGAUCAUCCUCUCAGACCAGCUACGGAUCGUCGCCUUGGUGAGCCGUUACCUCACCAACCAGCUAAUCCGACAUAGGCUCAUCCGAUAGCGCGAGGCCCGAAGGUCCCCCGCUUUCCCCCGUAGGGCGUAUGCGGUAUUAGCCUGGGUUUCCCCAGGUUAUCCCCCACUACCGGGCAGAUUCCUAUGCAUUACUCACCCGUCCGCCGCUCGCCACCAGGGAGCAAGCUCCCCGUGCUGCCGCUCGACUUGCAUGUGUAGCUGCCGCCACGCGUCAUACUACGACGAGAUACAACUACUCGA